Molecule: ribosomal RNA, 505 nt
Filed under: Cervidellus vexilliger
Lineage: Eukaryota; Metazoa; Nematoda; Chromadorea; Rhabditida; Cephalobidae
Description: SSU rRNA
Rfam family: Eukaryotic small subunit ribosomal RNA
Source: RNAcentral
CGCGAAUGGCUCAUUAUAACAGCUAUAAUUUACUUGAUCUUGACACAAUCCUACUUGGAUAACUGUGGUAAUUCUAGAGCUAAUACAUGCAUUAAAGCUCUGACCUCACGGGAAGAGUGCAUUUAUUAGAACAAAACCAAGCGGCUUCGGCUGUUUCUGGUUGACUCAUAGUAACUGAGCUGAUCGCAUGGUCCUGCACCGGCGACGUGUCUUUCAAGUAUCUGCCGUAUCAACUUUCGAUGGUAGUGUAUCUGACUACCAUGGUGAUCACGCGUAACGGAGAAUAAGGGUUCGGCUCCGGAGGGUUCGCCUGAGAAAUCGCGAACACAUCUAAGGAAGGCAGCAGGCGCGAAAAUUACCCACUCUCAGCACGAGGAGGUAGUGACGAAAAAUAACGAGACCGUUCUCUUAUGAGGCCGGUCAUCGGAAUGGGUACAAUUUAAACCCUUUAACGAGUAUCUAUGAGAGGGCAAGUCUGGUGCCAGCAGCCGCGGUAAUUCCAGCU